AAAUAAAGAUUAUUUUGGUUUCAAGAGACUAAACUAUGAUAACAAAUGACAUGGAAGGGUAUGGGAAGGAUCGAAUCAACUCCUAUAACCUACUCAACAUUAUCCAAUACCGAAACUUAACCGCUUAGAAAACUCCUCCCUCUAAUUAAAUUUACAAUCCGAAAAGGAAUGCAAAAAUAAAGAUUAGAAAAAAUAAAAAAAUAAAAUAAAAAAU
Molecule: long non-coding RNA, 214 nt
Filed under: Carica papaya (papaya)
Lineage: Eukaryota; Viridiplantae; Streptophyta; Magnoliopsida; Brassicales; Caricaceae
Description: long non-coding RNA (CPAP_LNC001026)
Source: RNAcentral